RNAcentral lists this ribosomal RNA (789 nucleotides) under uncultured archaeon. RNAcentral's name for it is "bacterial SSU rRNA". It matches the Rfam family "Archaeal small subunit ribosomal RNA", at positions 85 to 879 of the family's 1478-position model. The record is from RNAcentral.
ACUGCUCAGUAACACGUGGACAACCUGCCAAGAGUCGGGGAUAACCCCGGGAAACUGGGGAUAAUACCCGAUAGGCCACGACAUCUGGAAUGAGUCGUGGUUUAAACGUAAGGCUCUUGGAUGGGUCUGCGGCGGAUUAGGUUGUUGCCGGUGUAACGUACCAGCAAGCCUGUAAUCCGUACGGGUUGUGGGAGCAAGAGCCCGGAGAUGGAUUCUGAGACACGAAUCCAGGCCCUACGGGGCGCAGCAGGCGCGAAAACUCUACAAUGCAGGCAACUGCGAUAGGGGAACAUCGAGUGGCACCCACCAUGGGUGUCUGUCCAGCCGUCUAAAAAACGGCUGUUAGCAAGGGCCGGGUAGACCGGUGCCAGCCGCCGCGGUAAUACCGGCGGCUCGAGUGGUGGCCGAUAUUAUUGAGUCUAAAGGGUCCGUAGCCGGCUUUGCAAGUCCCCUGGGAAAUCCAGCGGCUUAACCGUUGGGCUUCCAUGGGAUACUACAUUGCUUGGGACUGGGAGAGGUAGGAGGUACUCAGGGGGUAGGGGUGAAAUCCUGUAAUCCUCUGGGGACCACCGGUGGCGAAGGCGUCCUACCAGAACAGGUCCGACGGUGAGGGACGAAAGCUAGGGGCACGAACCGGAUUAGAUACCCGGGUAGUCCUAGCCGUAAACGAUGCUCGCUAGGUGUCACGGCAGUCGUGAAUUGUCGUGGUGCCGUAGGGAAGCCGUGAAGCGAGCCACUUGGGAAGUACGACCGCAAGGUUGAAACUUAAAGGAAUUGGCGGGGGAGCAC